CCUACGGGUGGCAGCAGUGGGGAAUAUUGCACAAUGGGCUAACGCCUGAUGCAGCAACGCCGCGUGAGCGAUGAAUGCCUUCUGGUCUUAAAACUCUGUCCUCAAGGGAGCUAAUGCCGGUACGUGAAGCGGAAGCCACGGCUAACUACGUGCCAGCAGCCGCGGAAAUACGUAGGGGGCUAGCGUUAUCCGGAAUUACUGGGCGAAAAGGGUGCGUAGGUGGGUUCUUAAGUCAGAGGUGAAAGGCUACGGCUCAACCUCAGUAAGCCGUUGAAACUGGGGAACUUGAGUGCAGGAGAGGAGAGUGGAAUGCCUAGUGUAGCGGUGAAAUGCGUAGAUAUUAGGAGGAACUCCAGUUGCGAAGGCGGCUUUCUGGACUGCAACUGACACUGAGGCACGAAAGCGUGGGGAGCAAACAGGAUUAGAUACCCCGGUAGUC
RNAcentral lists this ribosomal RNA (439 nucleotides) under uncultured bacterium. RNAcentral's name for it is "partial 16S ribosomal RNA". It matches the Rfam family "Bacterial small subunit ribosomal RNA", at positions 338 to 795 of the family's 1533-position model. The record is from RNAcentral.